CAUUCCACAUUCCAUGGACUCUUGAAGAGACAUUGAUGAAACAGUGCAGCCAUGAACCACCCUAACUCAAUCCUAGUGGCAGAAUCCCCCUUUUACUGCAGAAUGAGCUUGUUGCUACAGUGAUACUUGAACCCCUUAGAUAUAUUCUGUACUGAUUGUAUGAAAACAUGACCAAUGCUUUUGCUUUGUUGUCCCCCAAAUUAAACACCUUAAUCAUGAGAACCCAGAUAAUUGGAUUUAGUGUGACUGAUUCCCAACUUUCAGUAAGAGCAUAAUUAGAUUAUAUUUUUCUCCAGU
This 297-nucleotide long non-coding RNA is filed under the name Pan troglodytes (chimpanzee). RNAcentral's name for it is "long non-coding RNA NONPTRT016573". The record is from RNAcentral. Lineage: Eukaryota; Metazoa; Chordata; Mammalia; Primates; Hominidae.